Long non-coding RNA from Mauremys mutica (yellowpond turtle), 449 nucleotides. RefSeq lists it as uncharacterized. The record is from RefSeq and is a predicted model, not a curated record. NCBI's taxonomy places the organism in Eukaryota, Metazoa, Chordata, Testudines, Geoemydidae. The transcript has 3 exons.
UCACCUAGCCUAGGAAGCUGGGCUGUAUGUGCCCCAGGUCAUGGAGCUGCUUCCCAUCUGCUAUUUCUUCAGGGAUGGAAUCUUUUCUGAAGCACCUAUUAUCCCUGCACAUGGUGGAGUGGAAAUUGCCAACAGAUCCUCAUAAAAAGCAGUUCCCAUACCUUUUUCUUGUCCCCAAAUGCUUUUUGCAGAUAAUAGCGAUACAUCUCUCCACAAUUGUUUCUGUGGUACUGAAGUGUGCUGGAGUAAGACGGCAUGAGUGCUAGCCCCCCAGGGAGAGAGAGGACCUUCAUGAAAAUGAGAUGUGGAUCUUGUCAAGCUACUCAGCAUGUGCAAAAUUUUAUCUAGACAAGCCAUGGGUCUUUAUUCUGCAAGAUCUGAAACUUAUCAAGAGUUUAUCUUGAGGCAUCUGAAGAAGUGGGUUUUUUACCCACAAAAGCUUAUCCCCA